Molecule: ribosomal RNA, 274 nt
Filed under: uncultured bacterium
Lineage: Bacteria
Description: partial 16S ribosomal RNA
Rfam family: Bacterial small subunit ribosomal RNA
Source: RNAcentral
AUACGGGGGGUGCAAGCGUUAAUCGGAAUUACUGGGCGUAAAGCGCGCGUAGGCGGUUUGCUCAGUCGGAUGUGAAAGCCCAGGGCUCAACCUUGGAACUGCAUACGAUACUGGCAAACUAGAGUGUGAGAGAGGAUAGUGGAAUUUCCGGUGUAGCGGUGAAAUGCGUAGAUAUCGGAAGGAACAUCGGUGGCGAAGGCGACUGUCUGGCUCAACACUGACGCUGAGGUGCGAAAGCGUGGGUAGCAAACAGGAUUAGAUACCCUAGUAGUCC